Molecule: ribosomal RNA, 721 nt
Filed under: uncultured eukaryote
Lineage: Eukaryota
Description: SSU rRNA
Rfam family: Eukaryotic small subunit ribosomal RNA
Source: RNAcentral
GUUAGAAAGCUCGUAGUUGGAUUUCUGCGGGGACGGAGCGGCCGGUCGCAACUUGCGACUCGAGCUAGCGCUUUCCCCGCAUCCUGCCGCGAACCGUGCUACCAUUAGUUUGGUGGCGCUGGGGAUCGGCUCGAUUACUUUGAGAAAAAUAGAGUGCUCAAAGCAGGCCACACGCCUUGAAUAAGUUAGCAUGGAAUAAUGACUAAGGACUUUGGUUCUUUUCGUUGGUGUUCGGGACUGAAGUAAUGAUUGAUAGGGACAGUUGGGGCGGUCCGUAUUCCAAAGCGAGAGGUGAAAUUCUUAGACCUUCGGAAGACGAACAGCUGCGAAAGCGUUCCGCAAGGAUGUUCCCUUUGAUCAAGAACGAAAGUUGGGGGAUCGAAGACGAUCAGAUACCGUCGUAGUCUCAACUAUAAACUAUACCAGCUAGGGAUCGGCCAACGUUUAAUUUAUCGACUUGGUCGGCACCUUAUGAGAAAUCAAAGCAUCUGGGUUCCGGGGGGAGUAUGGUCGCAAGGCUGAAACUUAAAGGAAUUGACGGAAGGGCACCACCAGCCGUGGAGCCUGUGGCUUAAUUUGACUCAACACGGGAAAACUUACCAGGUCCGGACAUAGUAAGGAUUGACAGAUUGAUAGCUCUUUCUUGAUUCUGUGGGUGGUGGUGCAUGGCCGUUUUUAGUCGGUGGAUGUGAUCUGUCUGCUUAAUUGCGUUAACGGACGA